This 350-nucleotide ribosomal RNA is filed under the name uncultured bacterium. RNAcentral describes it as "bacterial SSU rRNA". It matches the Rfam family "Bacterial small subunit ribosomal RNA", at positions 9 to 349 of the family's 1533-position model. The record is from RNAcentral.
GAGUUUGAUCCUGGCUCAAGAUGAACGCUAGCUACAGGCUUAACACAUGCAAGUCGAGGGGAAACGACAUCGAAAGCUUGCUUUUGAUGGGCGUCGACCGGCGCACGGGUGAGUAACGCGUAUCCAACCUGCCCACCACUUGGGGAUAACCUCGCGAAAGUAAGACUAAUACCCAAUGACGUCUCUAGAAGACAUCUGAAGGAGAUUAAAGAUUUAUCGGUGAUGGAUGGGGAUGCGUCUGAUUAGCUUGUUGGCGGGGUAACGGCCACCAAGGCGACGAUCAGUAGGGGUUCUGAGAGGAAGGUCCCCCANAUUGGAACUGAGACACGGUCCAAACUCCUACGGGAGCA